GCUACUCAAGGGUGUAUGGUGGAUGGCUUGACAAAACAUGCUGAUGAAGGACGUAGCAGUCUGCGAUAAGCUUCGGUGAGGUGACAAGCAACCUUUGACCCGGAGAUGUCCGAAUGGGGAAACCCGGCUGGGGUAAUGCCCAGUCACUGUGCACUAAAUACAUAGGUGUACAGGAGGCACCCAGGGAAGUGAAACAUCUCAGUACCUGGUGGAAAAUAAAACAAGUCCGGUGUAGGCCGGAAGUAUUCCCUGAAUAGUGGCGAGCGAAAAGGGAAGAG
Molecule: ribosomal RNA, 278 nt
Filed under: Candidatus Uhrbacteria bacterium
Lineage: Bacteria; Candidatus Uhriibacteriota
Description: partial 23S ribosomal RNA
Rfam family: Bacterial large subunit ribosomal RNA
Source: RNAcentral